GUGAUUGCGGCCUAUCAGCUUGUUGGUGGGGUGAUGGCCUACCAAGGCGACGACGGGUAGCCGGCCUGAGAGGGUGACCGGCCACACUGGGACUGAGAUACGGCCCAGACUCCUACGGGAGGCAGCAGUGGGGAAUAUUGCACAAUGGGCGCAAGCCUGAUGCAGCGACGCCGCGUGAGGGAUGACGGCCUUCGGGUUGUAAACCUCUUUAAACCAGGGACGAAGCGCAAGUGACGGUACCUGGAGAAGAAGGACCGGCCAACUACGUGCCAGCAGCCGCGGUAAUACGUAGGGUCCGAGCGUUGUCCGGAAUUACUGGGCGUAAAGAGCUCGUAGGUGGUUUGUCGCGUUGUUCGUGAAAACUCACAGCUUAACUGUGGGCGUGCGGGCGAUACGGGCNGACUGGAGUACUGCAGGGG
This 419-nucleotide ribosomal RNA is filed under the name uncultured Actinomycetes bacterium. RNAcentral describes it as "bacterial SSU rRNA". It matches the Rfam family "Bacterial small subunit ribosomal RNA", at positions 227 to 657 of the family's 1533-position model. Lineage: Bacteria; Bacillati; Actinomycetota; Actinomycetes. The record is from RNAcentral.